RNAcentral lists this long non-coding RNA (1187 nucleotides) under Olea europaea (common olive). RNAcentral's name for it is "long non-coding RNA (OEUR_LNC002601)". Lineage: Eukaryota; Viridiplantae; Streptophyta; Magnoliopsida; Lamiales; Oleaceae. The record is from RNAcentral.
AAAUUCAAAUUUUUUAUUAUUUUGUAACGAUACAUUCUCCAAAAAUUUAUAGCAUUCAAAAAUUCAUUCUCCACACACAAAAAUAAAUAAAUAAAUGUCAGUCAAACAAGGACUUAAUUACUGUAUUUAGUAUAUUCACUUUCUUGCCUUCACAACCAUUCCUUUCCAUUGUGGAAAAAAAUGUAUAUUCGCCAUAAAUCAGCAUCAACCUUCGCGUGCUUCUGCGUCUGCAGCAUCAACUAAACUUUCCCAAUAAUCAUAUGCUUAAUUAGAUUGAACUAUUUAGCAUGCAAAAUUAAAGAAGAAAGAAAAUCACAAUCUUUUUUUUGUUUUUUUCAAUUAAAAUGAAAAUCCGACCAUGAAAUUGACUUUUAGUAGGGAAGCACUAUAUACUCAGUAAUUCAUGUCUCUUAACACGGAUUUGGUGUUCAAUCUAGGAACAAACAUUAUUAAGUUUAAUUACAUAUGAUCACGUGUUUAAGCUUUAAACUUAAACAUCCUACAAAGUUAAUUAAUCUAAUUAAGAGGAAUCUGAAACAUUUUGUUCAGCAGCUGGAUCAGAAUUAAGAUCUAAACCUGUGUUCUGAUUUUGUUUUUCUUUCUUAAGUUCUUCAAAGUCUUCUCGUUUAAAAGACGGACUCCAUGCAGCCGGUGUCAACUCACGGUCAAUCUUGCCGUUACGCUUCUCGAAAUACUUGACCGCCACCUGUAUUCGCCGAAGGAUAGCAAAGAACUCCUCUACCUCGUCAUCCUCCGGAGCCACUGUCACGCCGCUGUCAUCUUUCACUGCUUUAUCUCUCUUCCCGUCGUCGUCUUCGUCUUCCACCACCCUUUUCCUCUUGUCCGUUUCCAUUACAAAACAGGAUAAAAUAAAACAAGGUUUGAAACGACUGAACNNNNNNNNNNNNNNNNNNNNNNNNNNNNNNNNNNNNNNNNNNCUUCGUCUUCCACCACCCUUUUCCUCUUGUCCGUUUCCAUUACAAAACAGGAUAAAAUAAAACAAGGUUUGAAACGACUGAACUAUGGAUUUUAAAGAGAGGGACUCUGGUCAGUAAAAGAAGUGGUUUCCUAUGAAAUUACUGAAUGACAUCAUGACGUGACAUGUUUUGAUGACGUUAAUGAUUUGACUUUUGGUGGGGGAUAUAAAAAUAUCUUCUCUUUGACGGGUGAGUUAAUCUGUGGACGAG